CCAUAUCACGUUGAAACAGCAUUUUUUGUACGAUCACCGAAGUUAAGCACCAUCAAGCCGGGUCAGUACCUAGAUGGGCGACCGCUUGGGAAUGCGAGGUGCUGUAA
Non-coding RNA from Acanthosepion pharaonis, 107 nucleotides. Lineage: Eukaryota; Metazoa; Mollusca; Cephalopoda; Sepiida; Sepiidae. The record is from the annotation of a GenBank genome assembly.